AUGUGCUGCUCUCCUAAUAAAGGCCACACAAUUGCCUGCUUUCCCAAAAUGCUGGUUUGCAAACAGCUUAGUUUUCAUAUUUUCGACCUCUACCUAGAAAGGCACGAAAGACAGUUGGUGUCAGGAGCUGAACCUGCCUGCUUUCUGAAGACUUCUGUGACAACAAGGCACAUUUGCAGAAGUGCAUUCCAUUUCAAAGUAUCUGGGAUCUUAGUGUGGCUGCAAAGACACAAUACAAGAAUCUGAGAAUUGAAAGGAGAAUGAAAGUCUUCUGGACCAGUGAUUCCUAGGAUUUGGGAUUUCAUGGACUAAUAAAAAAAUUUUAAGGUAAGAUCUUUUAUGUACAUUGGCAAAUAAAGCAAUUAAAGAUAAACUAUUCACCACAAACAAAAUUAUACAAAAUAUUUUAAAA
This 412-nucleotide long non-coding RNA is filed under the name Callithrix jacchus (white-tufted-ear marmoset). RNAcentral's name for it is "lncRNA (ENSCJAG00000062473.2)". Lineage: Eukaryota; Metazoa; Chordata; Mammalia; Primates; Cebidae. The record is from RNAcentral.